AAGGAGAAUAAUGGUAUUCUAUAUACGUUUGUUGUGUCUGCUUCUUCUUCAUAAUAGAUAAUCGAAUUUGUAUAUUUUAUAUCUUUUUUUAAUAUUAUGUAAAUACAUUAAUUAGUGCCUUACUAUUCAAGUAUAUUAAUUUUAUACAUAACAAUGCAAUUUAAAGUUUUUAAUUAGGUUAUAUCGUUCCAUUGGUAAAUUCGUUUUACUGAUAUUAUCAAGCAUACUAUGUAUUAAUAAAUAAAUUACUAUUGCGCAAUUGAAAUGAAGAGAUAAAGAAAUGUUUAAGUAAUGGAUAUGCAAGAUAAUUGUAUUAUGGAAAAGGUCAUCUCUUCAAAAAAAAGAAAGUUGAUAUAAAUAAAUAAGCACGCUUAACAUUUGAAGUGUCAUCUCCUAAAACAGUAUCAAAUAAUGUUUUUUCAAAAAAAAGAAAAUUAGAAUCUCCAGAGGAAUGUAAAAUUCCCAAGAUUGUAAAAGUUUCAACUAAGGGAGAAUCAUUAGAAGAUUCCGAUGUGGAUAAUAUAAUCCCUAAUGAAAGUAACACAUCAUGCAGCAGUAAAACUGAUGUGGAAUUAAUAGAAAUAUCGAAUGAAGAAGAAGAGAUUCAAGAGAAAUUUAUGCAGCAUGACAAAGUUAUAGAUAAUAAUGUCAAAUUAAAACAUUUUCGAAAAUGAAAAAGAAAGAGUCUCAUAAAACAGAUUUUAACAAAAUUCUUUACAAUGACAAAUAAAACAUAUGAUAAAAAUAUAAGCGUAGAUGAUAAUAUAAAAGAAAAAGCAGAAUAACGUGAUAUUGCUUCUGUUCAAAAUUUACAUGAGAACUUCGAUGAAUAUUCAAAUGUAACAGAUAAUGAUAUAUUAGCAAUUAAAUGAUUUUGAAAUAUCUUAUAAAUAUUACUAAAAACGAUAAAUUAUAUGUCGAUUCUGAUUCUGAAAUAGAUGUUUCUCCAGAUAAU
This is a long non-coding RNA of Vespa mandarinia (Asian giant hornet), 955 nucleotides long. RefSeq lists it as uncharacterized. NCBI's taxonomy places the organism in Eukaryota, Metazoa, Arthropoda, Insecta, Hymenoptera, Vespidae. The record is from RefSeq and is a predicted model, not a curated record.